This 77-nucleotide transfer RNA is filed under the name Thryssa kammalensis (Kammal thryssa). Its description in RNAcentral is "tRNA-Val". Lineage: Eukaryota; Metazoa; Chordata; Actinopteri; Clupeiformes; Engraulidae. The record is from RNAcentral.
UUAGGACGUGGCCGAGAUAGUCAGGCAACUCUUUUACACUGAGCGCACAUCCAUGCAAUUUGGGUCGUCCUAAGCCA